GUAAAAUAACGCUUAAUCUGAAAAGUAAGCUUGCUUUGGGGACUAGUUUGCCUUACAACACCCUUCUUGUGUCUAAAAUAAAUUCCCCAAAUUUUUUUUUGAGACCAAAAGAGGGAGCUUUUAGAGGUGGACGUCUGGUUCCUAUCGCCACUACUGUGAACAAUUCUGACUCGGUACGUUUCUCAAGAGCGAAAGAUUUACGCCAAGCCACUUUGAAGGAUUUUGUUGACGCACUAACCGUUUAAUUAUGCAGAAUUUUUGAAAAAUCGGCGGAGUUCCCCUUUAACACUGAGCUGUUUUUUUUUUGGGGGGGGGGACUUUAACUGUUACGUUAAUGACGGAAAAUAUAUUUUUAAUACUAAUACGAGGCUUUAUGAUGGCCACACUUCUACCGUAAAUCACAGCACAUCUCGUAAAGCAGUAGCGCUGGUAUUAAGACAUCAGCCUUGUUAUUACAUGGUAAUUCGUGGUAUCGCCCACCCCAACAAAGGGUCUUAGGAGGGGCUUAGCGUUUCUGUCUGCAUGCUCAGUCGACCCGGAAAUAAACAAACAGCAGCGGCGGCCGGGCUGACGGAUCCCGCGUCUGAUCCCCGAGCUCCGGCGGCCUUUCCUGCUCGGCUAUGCGGCGCUGUCUGCGCUAAGGCGUGCCCGUCUCGCUCGGAUCCCAAGGCCCGGUGCGCGCAGGCAGCAGGCGCUGCUCUUUAGGGAUGGCCAGCAAGCCGUUUUCCUUCCAGACGCGCCUCACCUCGGUGAUGGAGGUGAUGGCCAGGGCGGUCGUGCGGGAGGUCUGCGAGAUGGUAGACGGCGAUUUGGCGUGUUUACGUCUGGAGCUGGCGCGAGCCCUCAACGAGAAGACGGCUCUCAGCGUGAAAAUGCACGAGCUGGAGAGCGAGGUGGAAACCCUGCGCAACACAGGCGCGCGGAGCCCGGCCAAGAAGUACCGUUCAGUUUGCAUACAGACCCUGGAAGAGCUGGACGCGCCCUCCAUCAACGGGAUAUUUGGAAAAGAGUGGUGCUCCAGUCUGUGGGAUGGGAGAGAGCCAAGAGCAGAGGAGAAGGCAACAGAAGUGGAACCUGCUGUGCCUGAUGAGGUAAGAUUUUCCUGCCAUUACCUGAACCCUGUUUGCUCAAAAUUGCAAGUCAUUUCUGAAACAAAAUCAUCCUUUCUGAGAGCCGUUAUUUUCUGAUUUGUUUUUAAAUGCAGUCUGAACUCCAUGAUCACAGUAAAACACUGGCCAUCAAAGAGGAAAAUUCAGAGAAGGAAAUUUGUUCAAGCAAUACAAGUGAGUAUGUCACGUUUAUUAUUAUUAUUAUUAUUUUAUUAUUAUUUUAUUAAUAUUUAUUAAUACAAUUU
Long non-coding RNA from Pygocentrus nattereri (red-bellied piranha), 1354 nucleotides. The record is from Ensembl. NCBI's taxonomy places the organism in Eukaryota, Metazoa, Chordata, Actinopteri, Characiformes, Serrasalmidae.